Small nuclear RNA from Phycodurus eques (leafy seadragon), 116 nucleotides. RefSeq annotates it as U5 spliceosomal RNA. The transcript has a single exon. The record is from RefSeq and is a predicted model, not a curated record. Lineage: Eukaryota; Metazoa; Chordata; Actinopteri; Syngnathiformes; Syngnathidae.
UUGCUGUUGUUUCUCUUCAGAUUGCAUAAAUCUUUUGUCUUUUGCUAAAGAUUUCUGUGGGGAGCAACAACAAGAGUCUAUCUCAGUUGUUUUGAUGCUGUGUGAAAAAUCAAAAU